CAGCCGCCGCGGGAACACGAAGGGGGCUAGCGUUGUUCGGAAUCACUGGGCGUAAAGCGCACGUAGGCGGACACUUAAGUCAGAGGUGAAAUCCCAAGGCUCAACCUUGGAACUGCCUUUGAUACUGGGUGUCUUGAGUUCGGGAGAGGUGAGUGGAACUGCGAGUGUAGAGGUGAAAUUCGUAGAUAUUCGCAAGAACACCAGUGGCGAAGGCGGCUCACUGGCCCGAUACUGACGCUGAGGUGCGAAAGCGUGGGGAGCAAACAGGAUUAGAUACCCCCGUAGUCCCUGUCUCUUAUAC
RNAcentral lists this ribosomal RNA (301 nucleotides) under uncultured bacterium. RNAcentral describes it as "partial 16S ribosomal RNA". It matches the Rfam family "Bacterial small subunit ribosomal RNA", at positions 509 to 807 of the family's 1533-position model. The record is from RNAcentral.